This 459-nucleotide ribosomal RNA is filed under the name uncultured bacterium. RNAcentral describes it as "partial 16S ribosomal RNA". It matches the Rfam family "Bacterial small subunit ribosomal RNA", at positions 338 to 795 of the family's 1533-position model. The record is from RNAcentral.
CCUACGGGAGGCAGCAGUGAGGAAUAUUGGUCAAUGGGCGCGAGUCUGAACCAGCCAAGUAGCGUGAAGGAUGACUGCCCUACGGGUUGUAAACUUCUUUUAUAAAGGAAUAAAGUGAGGCACGUGUGCCUUUUGUAUGUACUUUAUGAAUAAGGAUCGGCUAACUCCGUGCCAGCAGCCGCGGUAAUACGGAGGAUCCGAGCGUUAUCCGGAUUUAUUGGGUUUAAAGGGAGCGUAGAUGGGUUGUUAAGUCAGUUGUGAAAGUUUGCGGCUCAACCGUAAAAUUGCAAUUGAUACUGGCAGCCUUGAGUACAGUUGAGGUAGGCGGAAUUCGUGGUGUAGCGGUGAAAUGCUUAGAUAUCACGAAGAACUCCGAUUGCGAAGGCAGCCUACUAAACUGCCACUGACAUUGAUGCUCGAAAGUGUGGGUAUCAAACAGGAUUAGAUACCCGAGUAGUC